This is a long non-coding RNA of Leopardus geoffroyi (Geoffroy's cat), 656 nucleotides long. RefSeq lists it as uncharacterized. The record is from RefSeq and is a predicted model, not a curated record. Lineage: Eukaryota; Metazoa; Chordata; Mammalia; Carnivora; Felidae. The transcript is spliced from 2 exons.
CUCACUGGCAUUCCAGGGCAUUUCCUAAUAGAGCCGAGCACAGAGAGGAGCGGCCUCGAGAAGUAGGGACUUUUAAAACAUUCUCCCACAAAGGAGGCCUGCAAUGAAGAAAGGACUUUCUCAACUGUGUCUAGUUUUUAACAACCAGAAAACACGACCGUCUGAACGUUCAACUAUGAAGACUACACAAUAUAAUGUAAAAUUGGGCUUGGGAGACGAAGCCAAUGGUUUUUAAUCACAGAGAUCAUGUGAAGCAAAAAUUCCUUAUUUUCCUGAUUAGGGGGCCGAUCUGAGUGUAGAGGUCAUGUUCCUGUCUCAAACACAAUCUGUGUCGUGCUCGGUUAACUUUGUGACGUGAAUGGUCCUCUAAACGCCAAGGACAAGAGCCUGGGUAUUCACCUUUAUGAUUCGUACGUCAUUUUCUUCCUCGUGGACAUCCACCGCUCUGGCAAUAACCAGACUGUGAUACAAACAGAUACGCAAGGAAACUCAAGAUUUGGUCUUUCCUCCAUGUUUUUUUCCCCCCUUUUUUUUCUUUCUCCUUCCCUCCUUCCCUCUCUCCCUCCCCCGUCUCUUUCUCUCUUUUCUUCAUCUAUGAUACUAACCAGGGAGGACCUAUAACUUAAAAUAAACUUCCGAGCAAGUGAUUAAAUGGU